RNAcentral lists this non-coding RNA (26 nucleotides) under Rattus norvegicus (Norway rat). Lineage: Eukaryota; Metazoa; Chordata; Mammalia; Rodentia; Muridae. The record is from RNAcentral.
AAAAAAAACAGAAAGAGGUGAGCCCU